AGUGAACGCUGGCGGCGUGCCUAAUACAUGCAAGUCGAACGGAGUGGCGCACGGGUGAGUAAUGUAUAGCUAAUCUGCCCUACACUAGAGGACAACAGUUGGAAACGACUGCUAAUACUCUAUAGUGUCGGAUGAGGCUAUAUUGUAUCAGCUAGUUGGUGAGGUAAUGGCUCACCAAGGGUAUGACGCAUAACUGGUGUGAGAGGAUGAGCAGUCAAACUGGAACUGAGACACGGUGCAGACACAUACGGGAGGGGGCAGUAGGGAGUAUUGCUCAAUGGGGGAUACUCUGAAGCAGCAUCGCCGCGUGGAGGAUGACACUUUGCGUAGAGUAAACUCCGUUUGUUAAGGAAGCGGUACCUAAAGAAUAAGCACCGGCUAACUCCGUGCCAGCAGCCGCGGUAAUAC
RNAcentral lists this ribosomal RNA (408 nucleotides) under uncultured bacterium. Its description in RNAcentral is "partial 16S ribosomal RNA". It matches the Rfam family "Bacterial small subunit ribosomal RNA", at positions 29 to 526 of the family's 1533-position model. The record is from RNAcentral.